Molecule: ribosomal RNA, 462 nt
Filed under: bacterium XPB1009
Lineage: Bacteria
Description: bacterial SSU rRNA
Rfam family: Bacterial small subunit ribosomal RNA
Source: RNAcentral
GAUGAACGCUGGCGGCGUGCCUAACACAUGCAAGUCGAACGGACUUAAGACGCUGAUGAGGCUUCGGCGGAUUCUUGUUUUAAGUUAGUGGCGGACGGGUGAGUAACGCGUGGGCAACCUGCCUCAUACUGGGGGAUAGCAGUUGGAAACGACUGAUAAUACCGCAUAAGCGCACAGAGUCGCAUGACUCAGUGUGAAAAACUCCGGUGGUAUGAGAUGGGCCCGCGUCAGAUUAGCUAGUUGGUAAGGUAACGGCUUACCAAGGCGACGAUCUGUAGCCGGACUGAGAGGUCGGACGGCCACAUUGGGACUGAGACACGGCCCAAACUCCUACGGGAGGCAGCAGUGGGGGAUAUUGCACAAUGGAGGAAACUCUGAUGCAGCGACGCCGCGUGAGUGAAGAAGUAUUUCGGUAUGUAAAGCUCUAUCAGCAGGGAAGAAAGACUCGUAAGAGAGAUGACG